AUGACUGACUCUUCUGGCACCGAGAAACCACUUUCUACUCAUUCAGGUACAUCCUCAUGGAUUCUUGAUACUGGAGCAUCUUUUCAUAUGACUUUUGAUUCUUCCACUUUGACCUCCGUUCGACCUGUCGAGUCUCCUGUUCACGUUCUUACAGCUGAUGGCACUCACCUCCCUGUAGCUAGUCGAGGCACUCUUAGGACUUCUUCAUUUCAUGUUCCCUCUGUCGCUCAUGUUCCUCGACUUACCAUGCAGCUCAUAUCUGGUGGUCAGAUUGUUGACUCUAGUUGUAGGGUCAUUCUCGACUAUGAUUCAUGUUCUGUUCAAGAUCGUCGCACGGGCGCUCUACUUGGUGCUGGCCCUCGACCCUCUGAUGGUCUCUGUGAGCUUGAGUGGCUUCGUCUUCCCUCUGCUGCCACCGCCACCAGUCUCACAGCCCAUGUUGCUGCAUCUACCAGCUCUUUUCAGCAAUGGCAUCAUCGUCUUGGCCUUUUAUGUGGUUCUCGUCUCUCAUCUUUAGUGUCUCUCAUCUUUAGUUCAUCGUGGUGUUCUGGGGUAUGUCUCCGGCAACGCUUCGUUGGAUUGUCUGGGUUGUAG
Molecule: ribosomal RNA, 594 nt
Filed under: Triticum aestivum (bread wheat)
Lineage: Eukaryota; Viridiplantae; Streptophyta; Magnoliopsida; Poales; Poaceae
Description: partial small subunit ribosomal RNA
Source: RNAcentral